RNAcentral lists this long non-coding RNA (816 nucleotides) under Homo sapiens (human). RNAcentral describes it as "non-protein coding lnc-NPBWR1-12:2". Lineage: Eukaryota; Metazoa; Chordata; Mammalia; Primates; Hominidae. The record is from RNAcentral.
UCUCGCACCGGCGCUGGGGUGCAGGCUUUCAGUGGUCUCAGGGCUACGGCUUGUCGGUGCCUCGCCGCACAGUCCCCUUUGCAUUGAAGGACACGGUCUUACGGUGUAGGAGCAUUUUUGAGGUGCAUUCCUGGAUUUGGAGGCGAACCCCCAAUGGUUACCUCCACAGAGGCUUUGCGAAGGGCGCUCACUGACUUAGGUGAAGAGCGAAGGCUCAAGACUGUGCCGCUUUAUAGUGGCCCCUUGACGUCCAGAAGUUCCCCCCAGCGCCGGUCAUAAGCACUCCCGCCGCCUGGGCCCCGCCCUGCCUGCCAGGCGCCCUCCAGCCUCAGCUCCCGGACGCCCGGCGUGGCCGCUUUCUCGCGUCUUGCUGACCCGGGCCGGGGGCGUGUGCUCCUCCUGCAGCGGACGGAAGAUGCUGGGCCACGCAAGUUUCCCUGGGCUUGGUUAACCACCCCAAAGCCCAUUUCCAGAAGGAAAGGGUGUUGAGGAGGAGGGAUAGAAAGUCGAGAAGAGGGCCGGAGAUGAGAUCUUGCUCUGUCACCCAGACUGGAGUGCAGUGGCACGAUCAUAGCUCACUGCACCCUCAAACUCCUGGACUCAAAUCAUCCUCUACCUCUGCCUCCAUGAGUAACUGGAACUACAGGUCAACACAGAUUCUCGGAAUUAAACACUUCCAUGUCCCAGAGGAUCAAAGUCACUUGCAAAAAUACCUCAAAAUGUGUUUGUCAAGAAAUUACACUUUCUCUUGAUUUUGUGGACCACUUUCUAAUUUCCAACCCAGACAAAAGCCUCCUAGUGAAGCUGGUCUUUCCU